RNAcentral lists this unclassified non-coding RNA (349 nucleotides) under soil metagenome. RNAcentral describes it as "partial contains 5.8S ribosomal RNA, internal transcribed spacer 2, and large subunit ribosomal RNA". The stretch from base 1 to 120 matches the Rfam family "5.8S ribosomal RNA", at positions 35 to 154 of the family's 154-position model. The record is from RNAcentral.
GAUGAAGAACGUAGCGAAAUGCGAUAAGUAGUGUGAAUUGCAGAAUUCAGUGAAUCAUCGAAUCUUUGAACGCACAUUGCGCCCGCCAGCACUCUGGCGGGCAUGCCUGUCCGAGCGUCAUUUCAACCCUCAGGGCCCCUUCGGGGGACCUGGCGUUGGGGAUCGGCCCGCCCCCGUGCGGCGCCGUCCCCGAAAUAUAGUGGCGGUCUCGCUGCAGCCUCCCCUGCGUAGUAGCACACCUCGCACUGGAGAGCGGCGCGGCCACGCCGUGAAACCCCCAACUUCUGAAUGUUGACCUCGGAUCAGGUAGGAAUACCCGCUGAACUUAAGCAUAUCAAUAAGCGGAGGA